GAUGAACGCUAGCUACAGGCUUAACACAUGCAAGUCGAGGGGCAGCAUGGUCUUAGCUUGCUAAGGCUGAUGGCGACCGGCGCACGGGUGAGUAACACGUAUCCAACCUGCCGUCUACUCUUGGCCAGCCUUCUGAAAGGAAGAUUAAUCCAGGAUGGCAUCAUGAGUUCACAUGUCCGCAUGAUUAAAGGUAUUUUCCGGUAGACGAUGGGGAUGCGUUCCAUUAGAUAGUAGGCGGGGUAACGGCCCACCUAGUCAACGAUGGAUAGGGGUUCUGUGAGGAAGGUCCCCCACAUUGGAACUGAGACACGGUCCAAACUCCUACGGGAGGCAGCAGUGAGGAAUAUUGGUCAAUGGGCGAUGGCCUGAACCAGCCAAGUAGCGUGAAGGAUGACUGCCCUAUGGGUUGUAAACUUCUUUUAUAAAGGAAUAAAGUCGGGUAUGCAUACCCGUUUGCAUGUACUUUAUGAAUAAGGAUCGGCUAACUCCGUG
This 492-nucleotide ribosomal RNA is filed under the name uncultured bacterium. Its description in RNAcentral is "bacterial SSU rRNA". It matches the Rfam family "Bacterial small subunit ribosomal RNA", at positions 28 to 507 of the family's 1533-position model. The record is from RNAcentral.